Molecule: ribosomal RNA, 662 nt
Filed under: Arthrobacter gandavensis
Lineage: Bacteria; Bacillati; Actinomycetota; Actinomycetes; Micrococcales; Micrococcaceae
Description: bacterial SSU rRNA
Rfam family: Bacterial small subunit ribosomal RNA
Source: RNAcentral
UCUGUGCUUGCACAGAAUGAUUAGUGGCGAACGGGUGAGUAACACGUGAGUAACCUGCCCUUGACUUCGGGAUAAGCCUGGGAAACCGGGUCUAAUACCGGAUACUACCUCCUGGCGCAUGCCAUGGGGGUGGAAAGCUUUAUUGCGGUUUUGGAUGGACUCGCGGCCUAUCAGCUUGUUGGUUGGGGUAAUGGCCCACCAAGGCGACGACGGGUAGCCGGCCUGAGAGGGUGACCGGCCACACUGGGACUGAGACACGGCCCACACUCCUACGGGAGGCAGCAGUGGGGAAUAUUGCACAAUGGGCGAAAGCCUGAUGCACCGACGCCGCGUGAGGGAUGACGGCCUUCGGGUUGUAAACCUCUUUCAGCAGGAAAGAAGCGAAAGUGACGGUACCUGCAAAAGAACCGCCGGCUAACUACGUGCCAGCAGCCGCGGUAAUACGUAGGGCGCAAGCGUUAUCCGGAAUUAUUGGGCGUAAAGAGCUCGUAGGCGGUUUGUCGCGUCUGCUGUGAAAGCCCGGGGCUCAACCCCGGGUCUGCAGUGGGUACGGGCAGACUAGAGUGAUGUAAGGGAGACUGGAAUUCCUGGUGUAGCGGUGAAAUGCACAUAUAUCAGGAGGAACACCGAUGGCGAAGGCAGGUCUCUGGGCAUUAACUGAC